Molecule: transfer RNA, 74 nt
Filed under: Acidobacteriota bacterium
Lineage: Bacteria; Pseudomonadati; Acidobacteriota
Also listed under: 3 other names
Description: Acidobacteria bacterium (hot springs metagenome) tRNA-Trp
Rfam family: tRNA
About the family: Transfer RNA (tRNA) molecules are approximately 80 nucleotides in length. Their secondary structure includes four short double-helical elements and three loops (D, anti-codon, and T loops).
Source: RNAcentral
AGGGGCGUCGGUUAACGGUAAACCAGCGGUCUCCAAAACCGCCAAUGGGGGUUCGAUUCCCUCCGCCCCUGCCA